Molecule: ribosomal RNA, 21 nt
Filed under: Fusarium oxysporum f. sp. cucumerinum
Lineage: Eukaryota; Fungi; Ascomycota; Sordariomycetes; Hypocreales; Nectriaceae
Also listed under: 92 other names
Description: partial 28S ribosomal RNA
Source: RNAcentral
GUUGACCUCGGAUCAGGUAGG